AGCCUGCUUGGGAUUCUCUCCCUCUCUGCCCCUCCUCCACUCACGUGCUCUCUCUCAAAUAAAUAAAAGAUAAAAAGCACAUAACCUUUAAGAAAAAACACAGCCUUGAAGGGCCAUACUAUUAAGGAUAAGGGAACUCAUCUAAGUUUAUUAAGGAAUUGAUUUUGAAAAGAGUAGAACUGACCAGACAAGAGUAAUACUUAAUGUAUUACAUAAAAGAUACAAAAUUGUAUUUUUACCCUAUUUGAAACUAUGAAAAUCACACAGAAAACAAUUUGGCAGUUCCAGGCAAAGUUAAACACAGAGUGACCGUAUGGUCCAGUAAUUCUAUUCCUGGUUGUAUCUGAAAACGUGUUUGCACAAAAACUUGCACCUGAGUGGUCACUGCAGUGUUAUUCAUAAUAGUCCUAAAGUGGAGACAACCCAAAUGUCCGUGACUGAAUGAGUAGAUAAGCCAGAUGUGGAGGAUUAUCUGACCAUAAAAAGGAAUGACGUGCUGAUACCCGCUUCACCAUGGAGGAACCUUAAAAACAAUAUGUUAAGUGAAAGAAGCCAAACGCAAAGGGCCAUAUAAUAUAUGACUACCUUUGCAUGAAAUGUCCAGGACCGCCAAAUCCAGAGAGGAGACCCGUGCUGUCAGGCUGAGGGGAUACAGGUCACUGAAUCCAAGGCCACCUGUGGAGGGAAGAGUUGAGAUGUCAGUGAGAACCUCCAGAACUUCCAGAAGGAAGUGGCCCUGCUGACUGACACCUUGACUUUGGCCCCAGUGAAGCUGAUCUGGCACUUCUGGCCUUCAGAAGUGUAACAGACUAGACCGGCAUCGUUUGAAGUCCCUGAGUUUGUGGU
Molecule: long non-coding RNA, 846 nt
Organism: Leopardus geoffroyi (Geoffroy's cat)
Lineage: Eukaryota; Metazoa; Chordata; Mammalia; Carnivora; Felidae
Exons: 3
Source: RefSeq, a predicted model, not a curated record